CCUCUUUUUCGUGAGCCAAGUAAAACCUCCAAACUUGCUUGCCUUGAUGGAAGAAGCCAGUCUUUUCCAAGCUUAUGAAAACUAAACCAAACCUAUCCUACUGAACCUUUGAACCUACUAACCCAUCUAUCUACCAACACCCUGCUCCCACUGCUCCCACUGAAUCCUUCCAAACAUCUCAUUCCACAAGGAAACUUAUCCACAAAAAUGGAUUCCAAGCAAACAGUCUUCCAUCCAAGCAAACAGUCCUACCCUAAUCUAGACUGAUGGUAAUAACCUCAUAUUGAAACCUCAACUCCGGAAUUGAAUAUUCUUAAAGCUUUGGUCAAAAACAGUUGGACGUACUACACCGAUUCGGAUCUGCUGACCUGGUAUGGUAUCUGGUCCCCACACCGAACCAACGUAACGUGACAUUUACGUUGGACGUACUACACCGAUUCAGAUCUGCUGACCUGGUAUGGUAUCUGGUCCCCACACCGAACCAACGUAACGUGACAUUAACGACGUACUACAACGAUUCGGAUCUGCUGACCUGGUAUGGUAUCUGGUCCCCACCCCGAACCGACGUAACGUGACAUUAACGGAGAAUGCUGAGUACCGGAAUGACACACAGCCCUGAUAUCUAACCCAUGAAAACUUCCUCGUCGGAACGGGACAGAAAGAUUUCCAUCUUCAACACCAUCUAUUCCUUUCCGAUCUCAAGUCAGCCAUGUAAACCGUUGUGCAUGUUUAACUUUCCAUGUUAACUCAUGCUCAUUUAAAGGUUUGAUCUCUAUCACGUAGACCGGCAAAUUUUACAGUCAAGAAAAGGUUCAACUGAUCCAUUUCUUAAGCAUUUUAUAAAUUUCAAAUUUCUUCUAAUUAAAGGAAUUAUUUUUUUCUCAUGCGCACAUGUGCUCCUUUUCUGAAAAGUGCUUCCCGUCAAUAAAUGAUAAAAUGAACUCGGUGAAGUUCUUAGUAUGGGAAAGAAAAAAUAAAAAUUGUAAACCUCACAGGUUAAACCUUGUCAAAAGUUUCUUUUUAUUACUACUGCAAAUACAAGGCACAAGAAAUCCGCUACUACCUUUUCCGAAACCUGGAAAAAUGAAUAGUAUUUUUAUUCCGAGUUUAAACCUUGUAAACCUAUCGUUUUGUCUGGAACCUUAUUCCUUAUUAACUAUUGGGAUUGCUAUAUGCUUGAACCUUAUCAACUAUUUAAAUUGAUUUGUACCAUAACCAACUACUAUAUGUAAAACCCUUUUUCCCGUAACCCUAAAUCCCUCGUAAAAUUUUCCUAGCAUCUCUGGAACAUUUUUAUUAUACCACUAGCUAUAAAGUUAUAGCUAAUAUAUAUAAUUGUAAAAAAAUGGCUUUGUCGUAUAUAGUAACCAUGUUAAUAUCUACAUGUAAAUUUUGUUAACAGAAAUAACUUUACUGAAAUAAAAAAAUAUUUAGUUUUA
Long non-coding RNA from Eurytemora carolleeae, 1439 nucleotides. RefSeq lists it as uncharacterized. The record is from RefSeq and is a predicted model, not a curated record. The transcript is spliced from 4 exons. Lineage: Eukaryota; Metazoa; Arthropoda; Copepoda; Calanoida; Temoridae.